This 429-nucleotide ribosomal RNA is filed under the name Chloroflexota bacterium. RNAcentral's name for it is "Chloroflexi bacterium partial 16S ribosomal RNA". It matches the Rfam family "Bacterial small subunit ribosomal RNA", at positions 355 to 776 of the family's 1533-position model. Lineage: Bacteria; Bacillati; Chloroflexota. The record is from RNAcentral.
UGGGGAAUAUUGCACAAUGGGCGCAAGCCUGAUGCAGCCAUGCCGCGUGUAUGAAGAAGGCCUUCGGGUUGUAAAGUACUUUCAGUCGGGAGGAAGGUGGUAAGGUUAAUAACCUUGGCAAUUGACGUUACCGACAGAAGAAGCACCGGCUAACUCCGUGCCAGCAGCCGCGGUAAUACGGAGGGUGCAAGCGUUAAUCGGAAUUACUGGGCGUAAAGCGCACGCAGGCGGUUGAUUGAGUCAGAUGUGAAAUCCCCGGGCUUAACCCGGGAAUUGCAUCUGAUACUGGUCAGCUAGAGUCUUGUAGAGGGGGGUAGAAUUCCAUGUGUAGCGGUGAAAUGCGUAGAGAUGUGGAUGAAUACCGGUGGCGAAGGCGGCCCCCUGGACAAAGACUGACGCUCAGGUGCGAAAGCGUGGGGAGCAAACAGG